UUUUCAUCAGACAAUCUGUGUGAGCACUGCANNNNNNNNNNNNNNNNNNNNUUCUUUAAGGUAAGGAGGUGAUCCAACCGCAGGUUCCCCUACGGUUACCUUGUUACGACUUCACCCCAGUCAUGAAUCACAAAGUGGUAAGCGCCCUCCCGAAGGUUAAGCUACCUACUUCUUUUGCAACCCACUCCCAUGGUGUGACGGGCGGUGUGUACAAGGCCCGGGAACGUAUUCACCGUGGCAUUCUGAUCCACGAUUACUAGCGAUUCCGACUUCAUGGAGUCGAGUUGCAGACUCCAAUCCGGACUACGACGCACUUUAUGAGGUCCGCUUGCUCUCGCGAGGUCGCUUCUCUUUGUAUGCGCCAUUGUAGCACGUGUGUAGCCCUGGUCGUAAGGGCCAUGAUGACUUGACGUCAUCCCCACCUUCCUCCAGUUUAUCACUGGCAGUCUCCUUUGAGUUCCCGGCCGGACCGCUGGCAACAAAGGAUAAGGGUUGCGCUCGUUGCGGGACUUAACCCAACAUUUCACAACACGAGCUGACGACAGCCAUGCAGCACCUGUCUCACGGUUCCCGAAGGCACAUUCUCAUCUCUGAAAACUUCCGUGGAUGUCAAGACCAGGUAAGGUUCUUCGCGUUGCAUCGAAUUAAACCACAUGCUCCACCGCUUGUGCGGGCCCCCGUCAAUUCAUUUGAGUUUUAACCUUGCGGCCGUACUCCCCAGGCGGUCUACUUAACGCGUUAGCUCCGGAAGCCACGCCUCAAGGGCACAACCUCCAAGUAGACAUCGUUUACGGCGUGGACUACCAGGGUAUCUAAUCCUGUUUGCUCCCCACGCUUUCGCACCUGAGCGUCAGUCUUUGUCCAGGGGGCCGCCUUCGCCACCGGUAUUCCUCCAGAUCUCUACGCAUUUCACCGCUACACCUGGAAUUCUNNNNNNNNNNNNNNNNNNNNCCCCCCUCUACAAGACUCAAGCCUGCCAGUUUCGAAUGCAGUUCCCAGGUUGAGCCCGGGGAUUUCACAUCCGACUUGACAGACCGCCUGCGUGCGCUUUACGCCCAGUAAUUCCGAUUAACGCUUGCACCCUCCGUAUUACCGCGGCUGCUGGCACGGAGUUAGCCGGUGCUUCUUCUGCGGGUAACGUCAAUUGCUGCGGUUAUUAACCACAACACCUUCCUCCCCGCUGAAAGUACUUUACAACCCGAAGGCCUUCUUCAUACACGCGGCAUGGCUGCAUCAGGCUUGCGCCCAUUGUGCAAUAUUCCCCACUGCUGCCUCCCGUAGGAGUCUGGACCGUGUCUCAGUUCCAGUGUGGCUGGUCAUCCUCUCAGACCAGCUAGGGAUCGUCGCCUUGGUGAGCCGUUACCUCACCAACAAGCUAAUCCCAUCUGGGCACAUCUGAUGGCAAGAGGCCCGAAGGUCCCCCUCUUUGGUCUUGCGACGUUAUGCGGUAUUAGCCACCGUUUCCAGUAGUUAUCCCCCNNNNNNNNNNNNNNNNNNNNCCAUCAGGCAGUUUCCCAGACAUUACUCACCCGUCCGCCACUCGUCAGCAAAGCAGCAAGCUGCUUCCUGUUACCGUUCGACUUGCAUGUGUUAGGCCUGCCGCCAGCGUUCAAUCUGAGCCAUGAUCAAACUCUUCAAUUUAAAAGUUUGAUGCUCAAUGAAUUAAACUUCGUAAUGAAUUACGUGUUCACUCUUGAGACUUGGUAUUCAUUUUUCGUCU
This 1720-nucleotide ribosomal RNA is filed under the name Salmonella enterica subsp. enterica serovar Paratyphi A. Its description in RNAcentral is "16S ribosomal RNA". The record is from RNAcentral. Lineage: Bacteria; Pseudomonadati; Pseudomonadota; Gammaproteobacteria; Enterobacterales; Enterobacteriaceae.